Molecule: long non-coding RNA, 247 nt
Filed under: Phoenix dactylifera (date palm)
Lineage: Eukaryota; Viridiplantae; Streptophyta; Magnoliopsida; Arecales; Arecaceae
Description: long non-coding RNA (PDAC_LNC014869)
Source: RNAcentral
UGACUGCUUACUGGUGGGGAAAUCGACUUACAAUCUUUUCACAUAACAUGCAGUGAAUUUUUGGGAUACAUACAGAUGCAGGUGGCUAUUGGUUUAUUGGCUCUUUGCUUGGCUCAAUGCUUAGUCUUCAUUCCAUUGCAUUAAACAAAUCUUGCAGCAUUUGUGAUUACUCUGUGUACCUACUUUGUUUCUUUUUAUGGCUUAUAUGCAGUUUAAUGGGUACACUAUCUUCCUAUGCAUCUAUCAC